This 258-nucleotide ribosomal RNA is filed under the name Acasta sp. 3 MCY-2020. Its description in RNAcentral is "partial small subunit ribosomal RNA". The record is from RNAcentral. Lineage: Eukaryota; Metazoa; Arthropoda; Thecostraca; Balanomorpha; Balanidae.
UUUAGAGGAACCUGCCCUAUAAGCGAUGAACCACGAAUUACUCCGCUUUUUUUAGAAAUUCAGUUUGUAUACCGCUGUUGUCAGUUAGUUUCUUUAGAAAACUUUCAAAAAUGAAAAAUUCAAUGACUUCAAGUAAAGGUGCAGCUUAUAAAAAAGAGAGAGGUGGGUUACAUUUAAGAGAAUAAUAAUGGAUAAAGCUUUGAAAUAGGCUUUUGAAGGUGGAUUUAAUUGUAAAAUUUAAUUAGAUUUGAUUAGAGC